This 283-nucleotide ribosomal RNA is filed under the name Carcinopsis sp. RCP-2008. Its description in RNAcentral is "partial 28S ribosomal RNA". It matches the Rfam family "Eukaryotic large subunit ribosomal RNA", at positions 703 to 956 of the family's 3401-position model. Lineage: Eukaryota; Metazoa; Arthropoda; Insecta; Orthoptera; Anostostomatidae. The record is from RNAcentral.
CAAACCCGCAGGCGCAAUGAAAGUGAAGGGCUCGCCCCGCGCGGCCCGAGGGAGGAUGGUCCCCUCCGAGGAGGGGGCCCGCACUCCCGGGGCGUCUUGUCCGGUCUCCGGAGAGGCGCACCCGGAGCGUACGCGUUGGGACCCGAAAGAUGGUGAACUAUGCCUGGUCAGGACGAAGACAGGGGAAACCCUGUUGGAGGUCCGUAGCGAUUCUGACGUGCAAAUCGAUCGUCGGAACUGGGUAUAGGGGCGAAAGACUAAUCGAACCAUCUAGUAGCUGGUU